RNAcentral lists this ribosomal RNA (494 nucleotides) under uncultured bacterium. RNAcentral describes it as "partial 16S ribosomal RNA". The stretch from base 53 to 494 matches the Rfam family "Bacterial small subunit ribosomal RNA", at positions 39 to 507 of the family's 1533-position model. The record is from RNAcentral.
GGGGGGGGGGGGGGGGGGGGGGGGGGGGGGGGGGGGGGGGGGGGGGGGGGGAGCGGGCGUCUCUGGAUGAGUUGCGGGCGGGGGGGUCGCGCGUAGGUGGCCUACCUGGUGGCGGGGGAGAACUAUUGGGACCGAUAUCUAAUACCGCAUAAGAGUAGAUGUCGCAUUACCUUUACUUAAAAGGUGCAAUUGCAUCCCUACCAGAUUGACCUGCGUUGUAUUAGCUAGUUGGUGAGGUAACGGCUCAACAAGGCAACGAUACAUAGCCGACCUGAGAGGGUGAUCGGCCACACUGGGACUGAGACACGGCACAGACUCCUACGGGAGGCAGCAGUAGGGAAUCUUCGGCAAUGGACGGAAGUCUGACCGAGCAACGCCGCGUGAGUGAAGAAGGUUUCGGAUCGUAAAGCUCUGUUGUAAGAGAAGAACGAGUGUGAGAGUGGAAAGUUCACACUGUGACGGUAUCUUAACAGAAAGGGACGGCUAACUACGUG